Molecule: long non-coding RNA, 1008 nt
Filed under: Zonotrichia albicollis (white-throated sparrow)
Lineage: Eukaryota; Metazoa; Chordata; Aves; Passeriformes; Passerellidae
Description: lncRNA (ENSZALG00000002709.1)
Source: RNAcentral
GAGAGUGGGGAGAGGAACCAACCUCCACCUCUGCCGUGGCUGCUCGUGCCUCUGGCUGGGUUUGGGUUUUGUUCUGGCCAGCACCGGGAGCCGGCCCGUCCCCCUCGAUAUUGGGAAUAUUUCUGCGGGUGUCGUUGUGGUUGCAUCACAGAGCUCUCCUUCCUCAUCUCCAUUCUUGUGCAAAAUUCAAAUAAUUCCCCCCCCCUCCCCAUAGCAGCUGUGCAUGGGGUUUGUUGGGUUUUUUUUGGUUUGGUUUUUUUUUUUGAGUUUUUUUUUUUUUUAAGUCACUCUUUAACGUUGCAAAAGGAACAAUAAAAUGAAAGGCAAAACCGGCAUCUUAAAACUUGGCAAGUGAAAGCAGCUUGGACUGGCAGCCAAGAAUCCUGCUGUGGUGCAAAAAGAAUAGCAUCCACGGAGCCACCACAACCCGGGGCUGCUCCUCUUUUCACAACCGCGCCGGCACCGAGCAAUAAUUAUUCCUUGUAUCAGUGUUCAAAGAGUCAACAAGCUCCAAAAAGCUUGCUUGGGGAACCUCCUCCAAAGCAGAAUACGUUCCCGAGGAGUUGGGCCUAGCAAUAUGGCAGCGCACGUUCCAUAGGAAACCCUGCAGAACGCUGUUGCUGCUGCUGAGCUCCGUUCCCAAGGAGGGCACAAUCCCUGCCCCGCCCCGGCCUCCACCACUGCGGGCCCUGAGCUUUCUCCACCCCAAAAUUCCAUCCCUGGAUUUGCAAAGAUGCUGCAGCACGAAUUUUUGGCUGCUGAAAAAACUUUGGGAGAAGCUGGAUGCUUUUAAGGUGAGUGAAGUUGGAGGAUGAAUUUAGAUAACCUUUGGGCAGAUGGUGAAAGUUUAACAUCUAUAACAGGAGUUUCUUGCCGCCCAGCGAUUCCAAAUGAAGGAAAAAAAAAUUGUAUUUUAUAAUUGCAUAUUUAAAGGUUGAAGUGAUUUAUUUUAAGAACCUGCACCAAAAAAAAAAUAAAAAAAAAAAAAAAGAAGAGGGAGAAUUUUCU